UACGAAGGGGGCUAGCGUUGUUCGGAAUUACUGGGCGUAAAGCGCACGUAGGCGGACCUGUCAGUCAGAGGUGAAAUCCCGGAGCUUAACUUCGGAACUGCCUUUGAUACUGCAGGUCUUGAGGAUGGGAGAGGUGAGUGGAACUGCGAGUGUAGAGGUGAAAUUCGUAGAUAUUCGCAAGAACACCAGUGGCGAAGGCGGCUCACUGGCCCAUUACUGACGCUGAGGUGCGAAAGCGUGGGGAGCAAACAGG
Molecule: non-coding RNA, 253 nt
Filed under: uncultured bacterium
Lineage: Bacteria
Also listed under: 1 other name
Description: partial 16S ribosomal RNA
Rfam family: Bacterial small subunit ribosomal RNA
Source: RNAcentral